AUCACUGGUGUUCGGGUUGUCAUGCCAAUGGCAUUGCCCGGUAGCUAAAUUCGGAAGAGAUAACCGCUGAAAGCAUCUAAGCGGGAAACUUGCCUCGAGAUGAGUCUUCCCUGGGGCUUCAAGCCCCUGAAGGAACGUUAAAGACGAUGACGUUGAUAGGCUGGGUGUGUAAGUGCAGCGAUGCAUUGAGCUAACCAGUACUAAUGAUCCGUGAGGCUUAACCUUACAACACCAAAGGUGUUUUG
This 245-nucleotide ribosomal RNA is filed under the name Yersinia frederiksenii. RNAcentral describes it as "partial 23S ribosomal RNA". It matches the Rfam family "Bacterial large subunit ribosomal RNA", at positions 2705 to 2925 of the family's 2925-position model. The record is from RNAcentral. Lineage: Bacteria; Pseudomonadati; Pseudomonadota; Gammaproteobacteria; Enterobacterales; Yersiniaceae.